AGAUUAUGAAUGAAUAGAUUACUGGGGGAAUCGUCUGAACAAGGCCUGCGCUUAAUUGCGCGGCCAGUUCUUGAUUCUCUGCUAUCAGUUUUCUAUUUCUCAUCCUAAACACAAUGGAGUUUUUUCUCUAUGAACUACUUCCCUGGAGAGCUCGUCUCUCCAGUGGACAUAAACACAAACAAUAUUUUGUAUUAUGAAAAACUAUUAUACUAUAAAAUUUAAUAUUCAAAACUUUCAACAACGGAUCUCUUGGUUCUCGCAUCGAUGAAGAACGCAGCGAAUUGCGAUAUGUAUUGUGAAUUGCAGAUUUUCGUGAAUCAUCAAAUCUUUGAACGCACAUUGCGCCCUCUGGUAUUCCAGGGGGCAUGCCUGUUUGAGCGUCAUUUCUCUCUCAAACCUUUGGGUUUGGUAGUGAGUGAUACUCGUCUCGGGUUAACUUGAAAGUGGCUAGCCGUUGCCAUCUGCGUGAGCAGGGCUGCGUGUCAAGUCUAUGGACUCGACUCUUGCACAUCUACGUCUUAGGUUUGCGCCAAUUCGUGGUAAGCUUGGGUCAUAGAGACUCAUAGGUGUUAUAAAGACUCGCUGGUGUUUGUCUCCUUGAGGCAUACGGCUUUAACCAAAACUCUCAAAGUUUGACCUCAAAUCAGGUAGGAGUACCCGCUGAACUUAAGCAUAUCAA
Molecule: unclassified non-coding RNA, 679 nt
Filed under: Kluyveromyces marxianus
Lineage: Eukaryota; Fungi; Ascomycota; Saccharomycetes; Saccharomycetales; Saccharomycetaceae
Description: sequence contains ITS1, 5.8S rRNA gene and ITS2
Rfam family: 5.8S ribosomal RNA (bases 230-383)
Source: RNAcentral